RNAcentral lists this ribosomal RNA (427 nucleotides) under uncultured bacterium. RNAcentral's name for it is "bacterial SSU rRNA". It matches the Rfam family "Bacterial small subunit ribosomal RNA", at positions 355 to 774 of the family's 1533-position model. The record is from RNAcentral.
UGAGGAAUAUUGGACAAUGGGCGCAAGCCUGAUCCAGCAAUGCCGCGUGCAGGAUGAAGGCCUUCGGGUUGUAAACUGCUUUUGUACGGAGCGAAAAGGUCUGCCCUAAUACGGUGGGCUCAUGACGGUACCGUAAGAAUAAGCACCGGCUAACUACGUGCCAGCAGCCGCGGUAAUACGUAGGGUGCGAGCGUUAAUCGGAAUUACUGGGCGUAAAGCGUGCGCAGGCGGUUAUAUAAGACAGAUGUGAAAUCCCCGGGCUCAACCUGGGACCUGCAUUUGAGACUGUAUAGCUAGAGUACGGUAGAGGGGGAUGGAAUUCCGCGUGUAGCAGUGAAAUGCGUAGAUAUGCGGAGGAACACCGAUGGCGAAGGCAAUCCCCUGGACCUGUACUGACGCUCAUGCACGAAAGCGUGGGGAGCAAACA